CCCGUCACUGCAUCUGACCACUUCUCUGUUGGUGGUGCAAUCCAGUGGUGGGCUGAAACUAAGCCCCAGUUUAAGAAACAUAUUCUUAUUCUUCAUAUGGAUGACUCUGUGCUGAACACCUGGGAACAACC
Molecule: small nucleolar RNA, 131 nt
Organism: Pipistrellus kuhlii (Kuhl's pipistrelle)
Lineage: Eukaryota; Metazoa; Chordata; Mammalia; Chiroptera; Vespertilionidae
Product: small nucleolar RNA SNORA65
Exons: 1
Source: RefSeq, a predicted model, not a curated record